AGCACCACGCGCAUGCUACACCGCCAUGUUACAGCAACACCCCAACGUAACGCACAUUAUAAAAAUGGGAAAAAGAUAAAAAUCUUAAAAAAUGGAAUUUUACCGUAGCAUUAUAAUUUUAAAGGAUUAAAAUUUGUAAAAUCCAUUUGAAAAGAUUCGAUUAUUAUUGGUAAAUUUGCGUCCCACUUGGCAACACCGUGAACAAUGACGUCAUCACAUGUGCGGUGCGCGACCCCCAACUAACACCUAACACGGUCUAGCUAAUAUUGUAUAAAUUGGAUUGUAAAUUUGUUUUGAUUUUGAUUGAUUCGGUAUUAUAGAUGUAUAAGUAUUUUG
This is a long non-coding RNA of Aricia agestis (brown argus), 336 nucleotides long. RefSeq lists it as uncharacterized. The transcript is spliced from 3 exons. NCBI's taxonomy places the organism in Eukaryota, Metazoa, Arthropoda, Insecta, Lepidoptera, Lycaenidae. The record is from RefSeq and is a predicted model, not a curated record.